This 660-nucleotide ribosomal RNA is filed under the name uncultured Bacteroidota bacterium. Its description in RNAcentral is "bacterial SSU rRNA". It matches the Rfam family "Bacterial small subunit ribosomal RNA", at positions 62 to 723 of the family's 1533-position model. Lineage: Bacteria; Pseudomonadati; Bacteroidota. The record is from RNAcentral.
UCGAGGGGUAUUGUUCUUCGGAAUGAGAGACCGGCACACGGGUGCGUAACGCGUAUGCAAUCUACCUUUCACAGAGGGAUAGCCCAGAGAAAUUUGGAUUAAUACCUCAUAGCAUAAUGAGUUGGCAUCAACACAUUAUUAAAGUCACAACGGUGAAAGAUGAGCAUGCGUCCCAUUAGCUAGUUGGUAAGGUAACGGCUUACCAAGGCUACGAUGGGUAGGGGUCCUGAGAGGGAGAUCCCCCACACUGGUACUGAGACACGGACCAGACUCCUACGGGAGGCAGCAGUGAGGAAUAUUGGUCAAUGGGCGCAAGCCUGAACCAGCCAUGCCGCGUGCAGGAUGACGGUCCUAUGGAUUGUAAACUGCUUUUGUACGGGAAGAAACACUCCGACGUGUCGGAGCUUGACGGUACCGUAAGAAUAAGGAUCGGCUAACUCCGUGCCAGCAGCCGCGGUAAUACGGAGGAUCCAAGCGUUAUCCGGAAUCAUUGGGUUUAAAGGGUCCGUAGGCGGUUUAGUAAGUCAGUGGUGAAAGCCCAUCGCUCAACGGUGGAACGGCCAUUGAUACUGCUAGACUUGAAUUAUUGGGAAGUAACUAGAAUAUGUAGUGUAGCGGUGAAAUGCUUAGAGAUUACAUGGAAUACCAAUUGCGAAGGCA